RNAcentral lists this ribosomal RNA (253 nucleotides) under uncultured bacterium. Its description in RNAcentral is "partial 16S ribosomal RNA". It matches the Rfam family "Bacterial small subunit ribosomal RNA", at positions 524 to 776 of the family's 1533-position model. The record is from RNAcentral.
UACGGAGGGGGCGAGCGUUAUUCGGAAUUAUUGGGCGUAAAGGGCGCGUAGGCGGCUUGAUGUGUCAAAGGUGAAAUCCCUCGGCUCAACUGAGGAACUGCCUUUGAAACUGUCUGGCUUGAGGCCGGGAGAGGGUAGCGGAAUUCCCAGUGUAGCGGUGAAAUGCGUAGAUACUGGGAGGAACACCGGUGGCGAAGGCGGGACUCUGGGCCGAUACUGACGCUGAGGAGCGAAAGCGUGGGGAGCGAACAGG